This 361-nucleotide long non-coding RNA is filed under the name Gallus gallus (chicken). RNAcentral describes it as "lncRNA (ENSGALG00010007094.1)". Lineage: Eukaryota; Metazoa; Chordata; Aves; Galliformes; Phasianidae. The record is from RNAcentral.
GGGGAGCUCAGGUGCAUGCAAAGAACCUGAGUGACCAGAAUAGAUGGAGCCAGGAUCCACCCCUUCCUAGACCUCAUUUAAGAAUUGGCAGUGGAGAUAGGGGUGUUUUGCUGGAGGUUCCUCUCUCUUGUACUGGUGGCCUUCUAGAGGAUGUCUUCACUGCCUACUCUGGUAUUUAUUUUUGGUGGGCUUCAGUUACCCUGCCCUCAGAUCAGCAUCUCCACCAUAUCCAGUAUUCUGAGACGGAUGUCAAACACCACUAUGAACUCUAUGCUCUGCUGGUCUUAAAGUAAUUACGUCAUAAUUUCUUUCUAUGCAGCUCUGUGACUCACUGCAGAUGCUAGCUGAUUUUUCCCAAAAU